This is a long non-coding RNA of Paramormyrops kingsleyae, 146 nucleotides long. RefSeq lists it as uncharacterized. Lineage: Eukaryota; Metazoa; Chordata; Actinopteri; Osteoglossiformes; Mormyridae. The record is from RefSeq and is a predicted model, not a curated record.
GUUUAACAUCAUACCCAGGACCGUCAUACCCAUUUCUAAUUUAUCCCUGGAGCAAUGACAGGGCAGCACUUAAGUCUACAGGAAGAAAUUACCUGGAACGCUACACUUAGGACAAGGUCAGAAAAGCUCUACGGAGGCGGCCAAGG